AGAGUUUGAUCAUGGCUCAGAUUGAACGCUGGCGGAAUGCUUUACACAUGCAAGUCGAACGGCAGCACGGACUUCGGUCUGGUGGCGAGUGGCGAACGGGUGAGUAACAUAUCGGAACGUAUCCAAUAAUGGGGGAUAACUAAUCGAAAGGUUGGCUAAUACCGCAUACGCCCUACGGGGGAAAGCUAGGGACCUUCGGGCCUGGCGUUAAUGGAGCGGCCGAUAUCUGAUUAGCUAGUUGGUGGGGUAAAGGCCCACCAAGGCGACGAUCAGUAGCUGGUCUGAGAGGACGACCAGCCACACUGGAACUGAGACACGGUCCAGACUCCUACGGGAGGCAGCAGUGGGGAAUUUUGGACAAUGGGCGCAAGCCUGAUCCAGCCAUUCCGCGUGAGUGAAGAAGGCCUUCGGGUUGUAAAGCUCUUUCGCAAGGGAAGAAAACUUAGUCUCUAACAUAGACUGAGGUUGACGGUACCUUGAUAAGAAGCACCGGCUAACUACGUGCCAGCAGCCGCGGUAAUACGUAGGGUGCGAGCGUUAAUCGGAAUUACUGGGCGUAAAGCGUGCGCAGGCGGUUUUGCAAGUCAGAUGUGAAAUCCCCGAGCUCAACUUGGGAACUGCGUUUGAAACUACAAGACUAGAAUAUGUCAGAGGGGGGUAGAAUUCCACGUGUAGCAGUGAAAUGCGUAGAGAUGUGGAG
RNAcentral lists this ribosomal RNA (700 nucleotides) under uncultured bacterium. RNAcentral's name for it is "bacterial SSU rRNA". It matches the Rfam family "Bacterial small subunit ribosomal RNA", at positions 8 to 703 of the family's 1533-position model. The record is from RNAcentral.